Molecule: transfer RNA, 68 nt
Filed under: Bigelowiella longifila
Lineage: Eukaryota; Cercozoa; Chlorarachniophyceae
Rfam family: tRNA
About the family: Transfer RNA (tRNA) molecules are approximately 80 nucleotides in length. Their secondary structure includes four short double-helical elements and three loops (D, anti-codon, and T loops). Further hydrogen bonds mediate the characteristic L-shaped molecular structure. tRNAs have two regions of fundamental functional importance: the anti-codon, which is responsible for specific mRNA codon recognition, and the 3' end, to which the tRNAs corresponding amino acid is attached (by aminoacyl-tRNA synthetases). tRNAs cope with the degeneracy of the genetic code in two manners: having more than one tRNA (with a specific anti-codon) for a particular amino acid; and 'wobble' base-pairing, i.e. permitting non-standard base-pairing at the 3rd anti-codon position.
Source: RNAcentral
AACCGUAGUUUAAUGGAUAGAACAGCGGCCUUCUAAGCCGCGGGCGCGGGUUCGAUUCCCGCCGGUUU